GAUGAAGAACGCAGCGAAAUGCGAUAAGUAAUGUGAAUUGCAGAAUUCAGUGAAUCAUCGAAUCUUUGAACGCACCUUGCGCCUUUUGGUAUUCCGAAAGGCACACCUGUUUGAGCGUCAUGAAUACCUCAAUCUCCAUCUUUUCUUCGGAUUGAUGGGUGACUUGGAUGUUGAGCCCUGCUGGUAUGCUAUAUCAGCUGGCUUUAAGCUUAUUAGCCGGCUCUGUACUGGAUCGGUUUGACUCGACGUGAUAAUAUUAUCGUUGAGGAUGCAUGUCUCAUGCAGCCGGAAAGUAUCAAAGCAGCUUCUAGCUUGCCUUUAGUGCACUUUUACAUUUUAGACCUCAGAUCAGGUGGGACUACCCGCUGAACUUAAGCAUAUCAAUAAGCGGAGGA
Molecule: unclassified non-coding RNA, 395 nt
Filed under: soil metagenome
Description: partial contains 5.8S ribosomal RNA, internal transcribed spacer 2, and large subunit ribosomal RNA
Rfam family: 5.8S ribosomal RNA (bases 1-120)
Source: RNAcentral